This 26-nucleotide microRNA is filed under the name Blattella germanica (German cockroach). Its description in RNAcentral is "Bge-Mir-275_5p* (star (passenger))". Lineage: Eukaryota; Metazoa; Arthropoda; Insecta; Blattodea; Blattellidae. The record is from RNAcentral.
ACGUGCUGCAUCAGGUGCUAGUGACU